This 2754-nucleotide ribosomal RNA is filed under the name Triticum aestivum (bread wheat). RNAcentral describes it as "partial small subunit ribosomal RNA". The record is from RNAcentral. Lineage: Eukaryota; Viridiplantae; Streptophyta; Magnoliopsida; Poales; Poaceae.
AUGGCGGAGCUUGCUCUUCUUCUUGUCAUAAAAAAGAUUGGCAUAGCUUUGGCAGCAGAGGCACUAAAGCAUGCUGGACCAUGGCUUGAACUCUCUAAUAAUAUGAAAAGGAUGAAGAAUGAUCUUGAACUUCUGCAAUCAUUUCUCGGUGAUAUUGGAAGCAAGGGUUGGCCAGAUCGAGUCACCGAAACAUGGAUAGGUCAAGCCCGAAGAUUAGCCUAUGAUAUGGAAGACAUUGUAGAUCAGUUUAUUUAUGUGGUUGGUAAACACCAUCAGAAAGGAUCGUGGUGGGCUUCUGUGAAGAAAAUAGUGAAGAAACCCCAAUCUCUGUUUACACUGGUUCAAAUUGCUACGGCCUUUCAGAGAAUAGAGCUGGAGCUUACACAGCUUAAACAAAACAGAGAAUGGACUCAACCAAUUGCUGGAGUGACUGAUGUUCCUGCAACAGAUUAUGACAUCCAGCAGCAAAUGUAUCUUCCUGGACAUGAUUACUCAAUCUCUGAUGAUGAACUUGUAGGACUUGGUAAAAAUAGAGAAACCUUGAUGAAGUCAUUGAAUUUGGAAGAAUUUUCUGAUCUGCAGAUCAUUGCUGUGUGGGGUAUGGGUGGCAUCGGAAAAAGCACUCUUGUCCACAAUGUAUUGAGAAAUGCAGCAUCCCAGUUUGAAUGUAGUGCAUGGGUUUCUGUCUCUCGGGCAUAUAAAAUAGAUGAUAUUUGGAGAAGCAUGCUAAAAGGAAUCUAUUCGAAAGACAAGAAAGAAUUUGAUGCCGAAAAGGUGAGCAUUGAUGAAAAGAUGAGCACUGCAGAGCUACAAGUUAAAUUGAAGGAAAUCCUAGAGACAAAGCGAUAUUUGAUCAUACUGGAUGAUGUCUGGACAGCUGAAGAUCUUUUUAAAAUUAAAGAGGUUCUUGUUGAUGUGGGCAUGGGAAGCAGAGUAAUAGUCACAACAAGAACAGAGGAAGUUGCUUCAAUAGCUGAUGAUGGUUGCAGGAUCAAAGUGGAGCGUCUUGAGGAGGGGGAUGCAUGGCAUCUAUUUUGCAGGAAAGCAUUUCCCAGAAUUGAAAAUCACAUCUGCCCAAAAGCAUUACAAGAGUGUGGUCAAUUAAUAGUGCAGAAGUGUGAUGGUUUACCAUUAGCUCUUGUGGCCAUAGGGAGCAUACUGUCUCUUAAACAACAGAAUGUUACACAGUGGAGGCUAUUUCAAGAUCAGCUUAUUUGGGAGCUAGACAACAAUAAAAACUUAAAUCGCGUGAAGAACAUUCUGAAUCUAAGCUACAAAUACUUGCCUGACUAUUUGAAGAGCUGUUUCUUGUAUUGUGCCAUGUUCCCAGAAGAUUACAUGAUCAAAAGAAAAAAAUUGAUUAGAUUGUGGGUUGCUGAAGGGUUUAUUGAACAAAAAGGAACAUUCAGUUUAGAAGAUAUUGCUGAAGGUUACCUCACAGAGCUAGUACAACACAGCAUGCUUCAUGUGGUAGAGAGGAACAGUUUUAACAGGAUAAAGCGUCUUCGAAUGCAUGAUCUUGUGCGUGAAUUAGCCAUUUUCCAGUCUAAAAGGGAGAGUUUCAGUACGACUUAUGAUGAUAGUCUUGGGGUGAUCCAAGUGGAAUCUGAUUCUCGUCGCAUGUCAGUGCUCCAAUGCAAGAAUGGCAUUCAACCAAGCAUAGGUCAAUGCAGGCUUCGUACCUUCAUAGCAUUUAGCACCAGCAAAGCAUCAUCUUCAUUGUUUCCUUCAGAAUCUAAGUACCUAGCUGUGUUGGAACUAUCGGGAUUACCUAUUGAGACUAUUCCAAAUUCUGUCGGAGAGCUAUUUAACCUUAGGUAUUUGGGCCUCGACGGCACCAAUGUGAAGGUACUCCCAAAAUCUGUUGUGAACCUUCACAACUUAGAAACACUGGGUCUUGCAGGUGCAGGCUGUCUGAAUCUCCCACGAGGGUCUGAAAAUCUGAAGAGAUUGCGGCACAUUCGUAUGUAUAAAUGGCUGGAUAUAACAUGCUCGGUUUUUAAAACUUAUGAACCAUUUGAGCCGUUUGAGGGAUUGUGGAGUUUGAAGGACUUGCAAACUUUGCAUUCAGUUCCAGCUAGUAAAGUAUUCAUUGCCAAACUAGCAAAUUUAUCUCAGCUGAGGGCCUUUAGCAUUAAUGGGGUAAGGAGCAUCCACUCUGCACAACUGUGUGACUCUCUGUCAAAGAUGCACCAGCUCUCACAGUUAGAAAUAAAAGCCAGCAAUGAAGAUGAUGAGCUCCAGCUUGAAACUUUAACAUUGACAAACCGCCUUAAAAAGCUCAAUAUAUCGGGGCGGAUUUCUGAAGGAACAUUGAACUCUCCAUUUUUCUCAACCAACAGAGAUGCCCUUCACGAGAUAUCUCUACGUUGGUCCCAACUUGCGGAAAACCCAUUACAGCGCCUCUCUGAAUUGUCAAAUUUAACCUUAAUAUAUCUUAGAAGGGCGUAUACUGGACAGGAGCUAACCUUCCACCCAGAGUGGUUCCCUAAUGUGAAGAUCCUUUUCUUGUAUGAUUUGCCACAUGUCAACCAAAUAUGCAUACACGAGCGAGCUUUGGUCCGCCUUGAAGAACUUGUCAUCAGUGGCCUUGCCGAACUGCGGGACAUCCCUACUGGCCUGGAACAUCGGAAAUCCCUCAUAAAGGCGUUGUUUCUUGACAUGCAACCUGAAUUCAAAAGGAAUCUUCAAGCGGCAAAACUAGAGCAUAUCUCGAUAUCCUACUACAGGACAGUACGAUCCAGAGUGGCAUGA